UGAGCUCUUUUCUUAAUGGGAUAGUCCACUGGAGGCUACAACUGGUGGGGAUUUGGUACUUUGCAUUUUCCCUUUAUCCAUCUAUCAAGGGAGAGAAUUUCAGUUUUCAGAUCAUAUAAAAUCAGGUGUAAUACAAAACAUAUAACUUGCCCUUUUUUUAACUAUAGAUAAUGGAUUCAGAGAAAACAUAGUUUGCUUUUCUUGAAAUGACACUAAAGAUUCAGAGAAGUUAAAAUCAUCAACGCAGGCAGUCCUGCUGUGAUAUCAGGCCUCACUGUGCCUGUGAGCAGGUGGGCUUUACUGAGAAAACGUCAACCAUUUGGCAGCAUGACAGCAUGACACACUUUGGGGAAACAAAAUCUGUAAUGACAGACAGACUAGUAAAUGAAUGAAGGUGAGUAAUUAUAAUAGAUUUAUAAAAAUAGAAAUUGAAAGGAAGGAAAUAAAAAUAUUGGUAAAACAUGACUUUUAAAACAAAAUCCAUCACCCUAGUGACUUUCUUGAGUAUUUCAUAAAACAUACAUUCAUAUGCUUCAUAUAUUCAUAAAGCAUAAAGCAUAUUCAUAUUAGAAGUUAAUGUUUUAAAAGUUCUAUUGGCCAUGCAUAAUUAAUAAUAUUUUAUAGAAAGAGAAAACUGGAUUCUUAUAAAAAAGGAAUAAUUUAUGUGAGCUAGAGAAUCAUUUUUCAGUUUAUUUAUCUUUAUAUUCAAUGUAUUAUUAGACUUUGUUAUCAAAAAAUGCUAUGCCCACAGUUCAUAGCAGCUGCAAUCCAUUAGCCUAAUGGAUUGAAAUUAUAGAUUGCCUUAGGAAUUGUCUAUUAUGUGGCAAAAUCAAAUAUACACCCUAGAGUGAAAGUCUUGACAUUAUUAAAUGUAAGAGUACAAUGUGUUCAGGAAGAUGUUAAUAAAAGGGAUUUAGGAUAUUUGCCUAACACACCAGAAAGUAAUGUGACAUUUAGGCCAAAAUAGAAGCUACUUGUGUUUUCCUGUUAUUCUUUAGUAGAGCAAUUUACACUGUCAGCCAUUACCAACAGUGUUAAAUAUGAAACGGGUACUAAUUGAUUAAUUAUCCUCUUUUCCUAUCAAACACUAUGCACAUGCUGUGUGUGCAUAUAUUUUAUUAUCACUCAAAAUAGUACCUUGUGCGAUUGAUUUUAUACAUCCGUUUGGAAAUAAAAACUACACCACCACUGGCAAAAUAUUAAGGGCCCACUCUGUACACAGUAGUGGAAAGACGUAUUCCUCGUUGACAUGACCAGACCCAGAAAUGAUUUUCAAAUAAAUAAUCUCAUGCUUAACAGUGUCAUAACCAACAUAGAAAUAUUCCUACCUCUUGUUCACCUUCUCAUUUUCCCUUAGCUGUCUGUGACUUAACUUUUAUCACAUUACAUUAUCAGUAUUUCUGAUUUGAGGAGUUCACUGGUCAGGAUCGGGUUUACAAGCAGCAGCUUUAGAAGCCUGAGCUUUGACAUUCUCAAGUUCAGUUUUGAAGCAAAGAGAAAAGUGGGCGAGGAAAGGUUCAGUUUUCCUUCUUGAGGAUCCCUAAUAUUGGCAUAGCAAUGAGCUGAGCCACCUGUUGACAGGUGGAAUUUAGUGUAGCAAGAGCAUUUUUAGGGAAGGGCUUGUGUGCAAACUUUCAAGAGGAAAGAAACAGUCCUAAUUGCCACUAUUGCAGAGAACAGUUGAGGCACGUUGACUCACUUCUUCAAACCUGCAGAGAUAAUACAGCACUGGAAGCUCAUUUGUGGCUGAGCUGACAGUGGUAUUAGAUAUCAGACCCACAUCUUACACUUCAAAUAUUCGAUUUCCCCUUAUGCAUUUUAGCUAUUCUUCCACACAUAGUUUACUUCCCUAUAAAUCAAUCUAAAUCUUUAUUAUGGACUGAAUGACUAUGUCCUCCCAAAAUUCAUACAUUGAACCCUAAUCCCCAAUGUGAUGUUAUUAGGAAGUGAAUUAGAUUUAGAUGGGGUCCUGGGAGUGGAGCUCUCACAGUAAGUUUACUGUCCUUAUAUAAGAAUAGACCAGAAUGCAUACCUCUCUCUGCCUUGUGGGGAUAUAGUGAGAAGUCAGCCAUCUAGAAAGGGAAGGAGCUUUCAUCAGAAAUAAUAUGCUGACACUCUGAUCUCACAUUUCUCAGCAUCCAGAUCUGUGUGAAGGCCCAUGUUUAAGGCACCCAGUGCAUGGCAUUCUAUUAUAGCAGCCCAGGCUGACUAAAAUAAUCAUUUAUAUUUAGGAAUGAAAAAAAUAAAUAUUGAAAAAUACUUAGAUACUUGAAGUUUAAUAUUCAGGCUUAAUAUUAACAUGAUCAACAUUCAGAGAUAAGAAAGAAAUGAUCAAUUCUGAAAUAUAAAUCCUGUAAAGAUGCAGGGAAAUAAGAAAAGAUUUCUAAUAAAUUAGACAUAAAGGUCACCUGAAAAUUACGGACAACAUUGCACAAAUAGUUAACAUUUAAAACGGUAAUAACCAAAGGAUAAAAAGAAACCGUUUUUUAUAUGUAGACAUUUUCUUUUCUAAGUUUCUUGGAAAAGGGGAAAAAAUGAAUCAUACUAUGGUAGGGUUUGAUGUUCUUUCUAGGAGAGAGCUGGUCAUUUAAGAAAAGUACAUUUACCAAGUCACAUGAACACACUUCUUUCUGUCUGUUAUCUCCUCUCCCUACCAUCUCCACCAAAGCCACAAUCCAUUCAUUUACUUUUAUAUAGUGUAACAAUAUUUAAUAUUCUCUGACCAUAUGCUUACAAUUUAGUUUGGAAGAUCAAUUCAUUCAUUCAACAGACAUUUAUCCAAUGUCAUUAUUGUGCCAAUUAUAUAUAUAUAUGCUAAAUAAUUUAAAAAAAAAGAAAACUAAAGCACUGAAACAUGGCAUAAGAUCACAAGGAGAAUAGAGAAAUUAUACACAGAGUGACCUGAGAUCAGCAUUACCAGGAUUUAAAUAAAAAAGUGGGAUUUAGAAGAAUUAGGCUUAGAUAGGGAUAGAACAAAGCCAAUAUAACUAGUAUGUUAGGGUGAAAAGUUGGCACUGGUCUGGAAAGGAGAAGGAAUAUUUACAUUAAAUGGUAGAAAGAGUCUGGAAAAUUAGUGUAGUGUAAGCAGGACAUUAGUUUCAUAUUAACAUAUUUACUCAAAAGAAAGUCAUUUUCUAUAGACUUACAUCCAACAAAAGUGCAUAUAGGCAUCAUUCCGUACAAUUUCAGAUACUUAAAAGAAUCUAUCAUUCUAUGAAAUAAGUUAAAAAAAACCACUUCAUUUACAAAAAUUCUUUUUUUUUAAUAUUUUUUUUAUUUUCCCACUGUACAGCAAGGGGAUCAAGUUAUCCUUACGUGUAUACAUUACAAUUACAUUUUUUUCCCCACCCUUUGUUCUGUUGCAACAUGAGUAUCUAGACAAAGUUCUCAAUGCUAUUCAGCAGGAUCUCCUCAUUUACAAAAAUUCUUACUUAAGUGUUCUGAAUGGGAAAUAUUCUGGGUUGGAGUUCCUGGAUGUGGCACUGUCCCACUCCUUGUUCACUUCUUAUGUUUUUGGCUAAAGAUGUUGAGCUGGGAAAAUAGAGGAGUAGAUCCCAUUUUAAAUACAAUAUGCUGAGACCGUAAAACAAGGGUGAGGUAGUUUGGAACGUGGCCAAGUCUAUGGUUUUUAACCAGGUGUUUGGUUUUUGGUUGUUUGUAUGCUUUUUGUUUUUAUUUUGCCACAUGGCAUAUGUCUCAUUGAGAUCCUUAACUCUUGUCAGACUUUGUUGACUAACUUGUCAGCUUGUGACAGAACGUGGAAGCAUAUCAUGCAGCCCAUCCUGGGCCUCCCAGCUGAUGUGAUGUGGAGCAAAACCAACCUGUUCUCACUUCGAUGGCCUCCAGUACAUAUUCAUUAACAAAAGAAGUGGCCAUGAGUUUGUAGUCCACUAUAUUUUUUGGUGUUGUUUUAUACAAAAAUAUAAGAUUGGAACAGAUUUUAGUAUAAAAAACAUGGUGACUCAAUCAUAAGAUACUAAACUUGUGGUAUUGCCUUGGAAACAGGCACUAGGCAACUAAGGGAAGAACCUAAAGUGAAAAAAGCAUUACUGAAGGCUAGAAAAAAAUGACAAAUUAUAUGUAAUAUCAGAUAGCUUAACUGUUGCCUGUGUUGUGAUACAGGGAGAUUUUACCUAACCAAUUAUUGGACCUAAUUUUUGGAGAUUGUGAUAACAAACUGAUUCCAAAUUAUUUCAUUUAAAUGCAUAUAAGAAGAGAGAGAGAAUGACAGAGAGAGAGAGAUUAUUGACUAUGGACUGGUAUAUCUUUGACAAGUGAGAGAAAGAUAAAAAGGUUAAGAAAUGAUUAGGUUCAAAUGUGAAAUUUUUUCUCAACAUCAAUGCAUUUCAACAAGACAUCAUCAAAUUAAGAAAUUCAUUAUAGGAGUUCCUGCUGUGACUUAUCAGGUUAAGAGCCCGACGUUAUCUCUGGAUGGUUUAAGGAUCUGGUGUUGCUGCAAGCUGCAGUGUAAGCCCCAGAUGUGGCUUCGAUCUGGUGUUGCUGUAGCUGUGGCCCCAAUUCGACCCCUAGCCUGGAAACUUCCAUUUGCUCCAGCUGUGACCCAGAAGGAAGAAAAGAAAAGAAAAGAAAAGAAAAGAAAGAAGAAGAAGAAAAAGAAAAAGAGAAAUAAAGAAAGGAAGGAAGGAAGGAAGGAAGGAAGGAAGGAAGGAAGAAAGAAAGAAAGAAAGAAAGAAAGAAAGAAAGAAAGAAAGAAAGAAAGAAAGAAAGAAAGAAAGAAAGAAAGAAAUGUAUUACAGGAGUUCCUGCUAUGGUGCAAGGGGAUCUGCAGUGCCAGGAUUCAUGAGGCACAGUAGGUUAAUGGAUCUGAUGCAAUUGUGUCAUGGGUUUCAAUUGUUGCUCAAUCUGAUACACUGGCCUGGGAACUCCACAUGCUGUGGGCUGGCCAAAAAAGGAAAAAAAAAAAAAAA
Molecule: long non-coding RNA, 4928 nt
Filed under: Sus scrofa (pig)
Lineage: Eukaryota; Metazoa; Chordata; Mammalia; Artiodactyla; Suidae
Description: lncRNA (ENSSSCG00035019392.1)
Source: RNAcentral